Molecule: ribosomal RNA, 484 nt
Filed under: uncultured bacterium
Lineage: Bacteria
Description: partial 16S ribosomal RNA
Rfam family: Bacterial small subunit ribosomal RNA
Source: RNAcentral
AUUGAACGCUGGCGGCAGGCCUAACACAUGCAAGUCGAGCGGAUGAAGGGAGCUUGCUCCUGGAUUCAGCGGCGGACGGGUGAGUAAUGCCUAGGAAUCUGCCUGGUAGUGGGGGAUAACGUCCGGAAACGGGCGCUAAUACCGCAUACGUCCUGAGGGAGAAAGUGGGGGAUCUUCGGACCUCACGCUAUCAAAUGAGCCUAGGUCGGAUUAGCUAGUUGGUGGGGUAAAGGCCUACCAAGGCGACGAUCCGUAACUGGUCUGAGAGGAUGAUCAGUCACACUGGAACUGAGACACGGUCCAGACUCCUACGGGAGGCAGCAGUGGGGAAUAUUGGGCAAUGGGCGAAAGCCUGAUCCAGCCAUGCCGCGUGUGUGAAGAAGGUCUUCGGAUUGUAAAGCACUUUAAGUUGGGAGGAAGGGCAGUAAGUUAAUACCUUGCUGUUUUGACGUUACCAACAGAAUAAGCACCGGCUAACUUCGUG